Molecule: long non-coding RNA, 422 nt
Organism: Anopheles merus
Lineage: Eukaryota; Metazoa; Arthropoda; Insecta; Diptera; Culicidae
Exons: 3
Source: RefSeq, a predicted model, not a curated record
GCCGAACAGGAAACGACAUUCGUCGAGAAGCUUGUCCCUUUGCUGGUACAGAUAACGAUAAAGCAAUUCGAAGAGUCAAUCAUCGAUAGCAUGGGCAGCUUUAUUAAUGAGUUUUCAACGAGUUCGCUGCCAUUCAAAAUGAGGUUCACAAUAUUUUCAAUGACCCGAAAGCUAUUCAACUGAUGCUUACCAUCGUGGAGUGUGUUCGGAUACAUAAUCAAUGCUUUCCACAGUACAAAAUUUCCGUUAACUAUCUACGAAUCGCACAAGCGUCUCAAUUCUGUCAGGCACACUUUAAAGCCAUCCUGUAUGGUGACCUCUGGUACCGGGAGGAAGAGGAGCAAGGCAAGCAUGAUGCCAAACGACACCCGGAACUGCAAAACAUAAUGAAAUCAUGCCAUUUGGCGAUCGGCGUAAACGAU